RNAcentral lists this ribosomal RNA (497 nucleotides) under uncultured bacterium. Its description in RNAcentral is "partial 16S ribosomal RNA". It matches the Rfam family "Bacterial small subunit ribosomal RNA", at positions 28 to 507 of the family's 1533-position model. The record is from RNAcentral.
GACGAACGCUGGCGGCGUGCCUAAUACAUGCAAGUAGAACGCUGAAGAGAGGAGCUUGCUCUUCUUGGAUGAGUUGCGAACGGGUGAGUAACGCGUAGGUAACCUGCCUGGUAGCGGGGGAUAACUAUUGGAAACGAUAGCUAAUACCGCAUAACAACAGUUGUUGCAUGACAGCUGUUUAAAAGAUGCAAUUGCAUCACUACCAGAUGGACCUGCGUUGUAUUAGCUAGUUGGUGAGGUAACGGCUCACCAAGGCGACGAUACAUAGCCGACCUGAGAGGGUGAUCGGCCACACUGGGACUGAGACACGGCCCAGACUCCUACGGGAGGCAGCAGUAGGGAAUCUUCGGCAAUGGGGGGAACCCUGACCGAGCAACGCCGCGGGAGUGAAGAAGGUUUUCGGAUCGUAAAGCUCUGUUGUAAGAGAAGAACGGGUGUGAGAGUGGAAAGUUCACACUGUGACGGUAUCUUACCAGAAAGGGACGGCUAACUACGUG